CAGUCGCCACGGGAAUACGAAGGGGGCUAGCGUUGCUCGGAAUUACUGGGCGUAAAGGGCGCGUAGGCGGGUCGUUUAGUUAGAGGUGAAAGCCCAGGGCUCAACCCUGGAAUUGCCUUUAAUACUGGCGGCCUUGAGUAUGGCAGAGGUGUGUGGAACUCCGAGUGUAGAGGUGAAAUUCGUAGAUAUUCGGAAGAACACCAGUGGCGAAGGCGACACACUGGGCCAUUACUGACGCUGAGGCGCGAAAGCGUGGGGAGCAAACAGGAUUAGAUACCCCUGUAGUCCCUGUCUCUUAUAC
This 301-nucleotide ribosomal RNA is filed under the name uncultured bacterium. RNAcentral describes it as "partial 16S ribosomal RNA". It matches the Rfam family "Bacterial small subunit ribosomal RNA", at positions 509 to 807 of the family's 1533-position model. The record is from RNAcentral.